GAGUUUGAUCCUGGCUCAGGACGAACGCUGGCGGCGUGCCUAAUACAUGCAAGUCGAGCGCAGAGGUAUCUAGCUUGCUAGAUACUGAUGAGCGGCGAACGGGUGAGUAACGCGUGGAUAACCUGCCUUAUAGAGGGGGAUAACUAUUGGAAACGAUAGCUAUUACCGCAUAACAACUUAGUACUCAUGUACUAAGUUUAAAAGUAGCAAUUGCUACGCUGUGAGAUGGAUCCGCGUUGUAUUAGCUAGUUGGUAAGGUAACGGCUUACCAAGGCGAUGAUACAUAGCCGACCUGAGAGGGUGAUCGGCCACACUGGGACUGAGACACGGCCCAGACUCCUACGGGAGGCAGCAGUAGGGAAUCUUCGGCAAUGGACGGAAGUCUGACCGAGCAACGCCGCGUGAGUGAAGAAGGUUUUCGGAUCGUAAAACUCUGUUGUAAGAGAAGAACACUGAGGAGAGUGGAAAGCUCCUUAGUUGACGGUAACUUACUAGAAAGUCACGGCUAACUACGUGCCAGCAGCCGCGGUAAUACGUAGGUGGCAAGCGUUGUCCGGAUUUAUUGGGCGUAAAGCGAGCGCAGGCGGAUCAUUAAGUCUGAUGUAAAAGGCAAUGGCUUAACCAUUGUAAGCAUUGGAAACUGGUGACCUUGAGUGCAGUAGAGGAGAGUGGAAUUCCAUGUGUAGCGGUGAAAUGCGUAGAUAUAUGGAGGAACACCGGGUGGCGAAAGCGGCUCUCUGGA
Molecule: ribosomal RNA, 742 nt
Filed under: uncultured Streptococcaceae bacterium
Lineage: Bacteria; Bacillati; Bacillota; Bacilli; Lactobacillales; Streptococcaceae
Description: bacterial SSU rRNA
Rfam family: Bacterial small subunit ribosomal RNA
Source: RNAcentral